GAUGAAGAACGUAGCGAAAUGCGAUAAUUAAUGUGAAUUGCAGAAUUCCGUGAAUCAUCGAGUCUUUGAACGCACAUUGCGCCUCAUGGCAUUCCGUGAGGCAUGCCUGUCCGAGCGUCAUUGCUGCCCUCAAGCACGGCUUGUGUGUUGGGCCUCCGUCCUCCUCCCGGGGGACGGGCCCGAAAGGCAGCGGCGGCACCGCGUCCGGUCCUCGAGCGUAUGGGGCUUCGUCACCCGCUCUUGUAGGCCCGGCCGGCGCUUGCCGACACAUCAAUCUUUUUUCCAGGUUGACCUCGGAUCAGGUAGGGAUACCCGCUGAACUUAAGCAUAUCAAUAAGCGGAGGA
This 345-nucleotide unclassified non-coding RNA is filed under the name soil metagenome. Its description in RNAcentral is "partial contains 5.8S ribosomal RNA, internal transcribed spacer 2, and large subunit ribosomal RNA". The stretch from base 1 to 120 matches the Rfam family "5.8S ribosomal RNA", at positions 35 to 154 of the family's 154-position model. The record is from RNAcentral.